This is a long non-coding RNA of Sapajus apella (tufted capuchin), 267 nucleotides long. RefSeq lists it as uncharacterized. The record is from RefSeq and is a predicted model, not a curated record. The transcript has 3 exons. NCBI's taxonomy places the organism in Eukaryota, Metazoa, Chordata, Mammalia, Primates, Cebidae.
UUAUAUUUCAAAAUAUAACAACUUUUCUGUUAUUUAAAGUUUUUUUGUCAAGAACAAGUUGAAAUCAGUUACUUAAUGAAGAUUUGUGUGUCAGGUGUGGUGGCUCACACCUGUAAUCCCAAAAUUUUGGCAGACUGAGUUGAGAGAAUUGAUUUGAGUCCAGGAGUUCGAAACCGGCCUGAGCAACAUAGCCAUCUCUAGUAUCCACUUAAAAAAAAAAUUAGUGGCCAGGCGAGGUGGCUCACGCCUACAAACCCAGCACUUUGG